This 460-nucleotide ribosomal RNA is filed under the name uncultured bacterium. RNAcentral's name for it is "partial 16S ribosomal RNA". It matches the Rfam family "Bacterial small subunit ribosomal RNA", at positions 338 to 795 of the family's 1533-position model. The record is from RNAcentral.
CCUACGGGAGGCAGCAGUGAGGAAUAUUGGUCAAUGGACGAGAGUCUGAACCAGCCAAGUAGCGUGAAGGAUGACUGCCCUAUGGGUUGUAAACUUCUUUUAUAUGGGAAUAAAACGUUCCACGUGUGGGAUUUUGUAUGUACCAUAUGAAAAAGCAUCGGCUAACUCCGGGCCAGCAGCCGCGGUAAUACGGAGGAUCCGAGCGUUAUCCGGAUUUAUUGGGUUUAAAGGGAGCGUAGGUGGAUUGUUAAGUCAGUUGUGAAAGUUUGCGGCUCAACCGUAAAAUUGCAGUUGAAACUGGCAGUCUUGAGUACAGUAGAGGUGGGCGGAAUUCGUGGUGUAGCGGUGAAAUGCUUAGAUAUCACGAAGAACUCCGAUUGCGAAGGCAGUUCACUGGACUGCAACUGACACUGAGGCUCGAAAGUGUGGGUAUCAAACAGGAUUAGAUACCCCAGUAGUC